This 420-nucleotide ribosomal RNA is filed under the name uncultured bacterium. RNAcentral describes it as "bacterial SSU rRNA". It matches the Rfam family "Bacterial small subunit ribosomal RNA", at positions 355 to 772 of the family's 1533-position model. The record is from RNAcentral.
UGAGGAAUAUUGGACAAUGGGUUAGCGCCUGAUCCAGCCAUCCCGCGUGAAGGACGACGGCCCUAUGGGUUGUAAACUUCUUUUGUAUAGGGAUAAACCUUUCCUCGUGAGGAAAGCUGAAGGUACUAUACGAAUAAGCACCGGCUAACUCCGUGCCAGCAGCCGCGGUAAUACGGAGGGUGCAAGCGUUAUCCGGAUUUAUUGGGUUUAAAGGGUCCGUAGGCGGACUCGUAAGUCAGUGGUGAAAUCUCACAGCUCAACUGUGAAACUGCCAUUGAUACUGCGGGUCUUGAGUAAGGUAGAAGUGGCUGGAAUAAGUAGUGUAGCGGUGAAAUGCAUAGAUAUUACUUAGAACACCAAUUGCGAAGGCAGGUCACUAUGUCUUAACUGACGCUGAUGGACGAAAGCGUGGGGAGCGAA